AAAGUCGUAACAAGGUUUCCGUAGGUGAACCUGCGGAAGGAUCAUUAACACGUAUCCAACGUUAAAACCCCCUGGUAAAUCAUCGCCGAACAGUUCUGAUUCAGGACUUUGCAUGGGACGACGCUUGAGCGCGAGGCAAGUUACUGCUUGUUAGUGUCUGUCAGUGUCGCUAACAAGGUUCAUGACCUGCGAAAAACACGAUCGCUAGAGGCCGCGACCGGGUCAGCGGUCACCCCUUUGCAUGAAAACGGGCCUGCGCUUAAUUGUGCGGCCACCAAAACUCGAACAACUGUUAACAAUGGAUAUCUUGGUUCUC
This 316-nucleotide unclassified non-coding RNA is filed under the name Ascomycota sp. Its description in RNAcentral is "partial contains small subunit ribosomal RNA, internal transcribed spacer 1, and 5.8S ribosomal RNA". The stretch from base 1 to 47 matches the Rfam family "Eukaryotic small subunit ribosomal RNA", at positions 1785 to 1831 of the family's 1831-position model. The record is from RNAcentral. Lineage: Eukaryota; Fungi; Ascomycota.